AACGAACGCUGGCGGCAUGCCUAACACAUGCAAGUCGAACGAGACCUUCGGGUCUAGUGGCGCACGGGUGCGUAACGCGUGGGAACCUGCCCUUAGGUUCGGAAUAACUCCCCGAAAGGGGUGCUAAUACCGGAUAAUUUCUUCGGACCAAAGAUUUAUCGCCUUUGGAUGGGCCCGCGUUGGAUUAGCUAGUUGGUAGGGUAAAAGCCUACCAAGGCUACGAUCCAUAGCUGGUCUGAGAGGAUGAUCAGCCACACUGGGACUGAGAAACGGCACAGACUCCUACGGGAGGGAGGAGAGGGGAAUAUUGGAAAAUGGGCGAAAGCAUGAUCCAGCAAUGCCGCGUGAGUGAUGAAGGCCUUAGGGUAGUAAAGCUCUUUUACACGGGAUGAUAAUGACAGUACCGGGAGAAUAAGCUCCGGCUAACUCCGUG
This 433-nucleotide ribosomal RNA is filed under the name uncultured bacterium. RNAcentral's name for it is "partial 16S ribosomal RNA". It matches the Rfam family "Bacterial small subunit ribosomal RNA", at positions 29 to 507 of the family's 1533-position model. The record is from RNAcentral.